RNAcentral lists this ribosomal RNA (389 nucleotides) under uncultured bacterium. RNAcentral describes it as "bacterial SSU rRNA". It matches the Rfam family "Bacterial small subunit ribosomal RNA", at positions 30 to 418 of the family's 1533-position model. The record is from RNAcentral.
AUUGAACGCUGGCGGCAUGCCUUACACAUGCAAGUCGAACGGCAGCACGGGAGCUUGCUCCUGGUGGCGAGUGGCGAACGGGUGAGUAAUGCAUCGGAACGUGCUCUGAAGUGGGGGAUAACGUAGCGAAAGUUACGCUAAUACCGCAUAUUCUGUGAGCAGGAAAGCAGGGGAUCUUCGGACCUUGCGCUUUUGGAGCGGCCGAUGUCGGAUUAGCUAGUUGGUGGGUAAAGGCCCACCAAGGCGACGAUCCGUAGCGGGUCUGAGAGGAUGAUCCGCCACACUGGAACUGAGACACGGUCCAGACUCCUACGGGAGGCAGCAGUGGGGAAUUUUGGACAAUGGGCGCAAGCCUGAUCCAGCCAUGCCGCGUGAGUGAAGAAGGCCUC